GUCAUCAGUGGUCUUCUGGCAUAUGGUUACUAUGACUACAAGAGGUGCGAUCCUUUGGCAUCCAAUCACAUCACCAACCUUGAUCAGGUAUUACCCUUCAUGAUCCUCGACAUUUUCCGGAACCUGCCAGGAAUGCCGGGCCUCUUUCUUGCAGCAGUCUUCAGUGCUUCUCUCAGUUCACUAUCAUCAGGUGUAUCUGCUCUCGCAAACACAACAUGGGAGGACUUUAUCAAACCCUGUGCUGCUCAAAUGUCAGACGUUCGGAAAUUAAUUAUUGUCAAAA
This is a long non-coding RNA of Haliotis rubra (blacklip abalone), 283 nucleotides long. RefSeq lists it as uncharacterized. Lineage: Eukaryota; Metazoa; Mollusca; Gastropoda; Lepetellida; Haliotidae. The transcript is spliced from 3 exons. The record is from RefSeq and is a predicted model, not a curated record.